UAUAAAUUGCAAAAGAACGAUUUUGUAUAAUUUUAUUAGAAAAAGAUACAUCGAGUUACACGACAGUAGUGCAUAUAAAUUCCUCGAUCUCUCAUCGCACGUCUCUUCUUCCUCAUAAUCGCCACCGCCACCCCCACGCACAUCUCUCUGAAACACGUUCUAGCUCGGGAUCCACGCGCCUGCACUGCUCGAGCGCUCAAAGUCGAAUGACGAUCACACCCCCACCACUUGUAAAAGCGACGCGCGCGGCACGUUCGCUCUCAGCCAAUUUCCAGUGGUGGGGACCAGACUCGACCAAUCAGCGUAGUUUUGUCGUACGCCGCGUCGAAUCCCAGUCACGUGAUUGGCGACGUGCUUCUUUCUCCGUAUAGGUGAAGUCGCGCGCGCGUUAUCUCCUUUCUUGCUAUCCUCGUCUGUUUCCCGUCCCUUCUGUCCCUGUUUCCGUCGUUCCGUAUUGAACCGGCGGUCUCCCUCUUUCUUCUCUUUGUCGGUUUCCUCGUGGGGUGCCGCCGUUCUGCUCUCUCGCACGCGAGGACACGAGCCUGCGAUUCUCUAGAGACGAACCUCGUCGCACCUACCGCACUUCUACGAACCUUCGGGAUUUACGUUACUUCUCUCGCUACUAGCGAGAUACUGUGAUCACAGAGCGGGUCAUGCAAAUACCGUGGGAAUAAUUAUUAUUUUUACGAUGUACCUUAGAAAGGCAGUACCAAGAAAAGCCAACGGCAUGUAACGAAUUGAAUGUACAAUAUUUGCAACAUGGUAUUCGACAAAAUGCGAUGAUUGCCGUACCAUGUCGUCUACAAGAACAACGCUUAUCAGGCAGACAUCGCAGUACGUAUUAUUACGUUUGCACAAAGACUAGUUAUAUCCGGUUUAAUCAUCUACUAUGUAAUCGCAAAGCAAAUACAAAGUUAUUCACGCAAAAUCA
This is a long non-coding RNA of Acromyrmex echinatior (Panamanian leafcutter ant), 931 nucleotides long. The record is from RefSeq and is a predicted model, not a curated record. NCBI's taxonomy places the organism in Eukaryota, Metazoa, Arthropoda, Insecta, Hymenoptera, Formicidae.